AACGAACGCUGGCGGCAGGCCUAACACAUGCAAGUCGAGCGCGCCCUUCGGGGUGAGCGGCGGACGGGUGAGUAACGCGUGGGAACGUGCCCUUUUCUACGGAAUAGCCUCGGGAAACUGAGAGUAAUACCGUAUACGCCCUUUGGGGGAAGGAUUUAUCGGACAAGGAUCGGCCCUCGUUGGAUUAGGUAGUUGGUGGGGUAAUGGCCUACCAAGCCGCCGAUGCAUAGCUGGUUUGAGAGGAUGAUCAGCCACACUGGGACUGGGACACGGCCCAGACUCCUACGGGAGGCAGCAGUGGGGAAUCGUAGACAACGGGGGCAACCCUGAUCGAGCCAGGACGCGUGAGUGAUGAAGGCCGUAGGGUUGUAAAGCUCUUUCAGCUGGGAAGAUAAUGACGGUACCAGAAGAAGAAGCCCCGGCUAACUCCGUG
This 433-nucleotide ribosomal RNA is filed under the name uncultured bacterium. RNAcentral describes it as "partial 16S ribosomal RNA". It matches the Rfam family "Bacterial small subunit ribosomal RNA", at positions 29 to 507 of the family's 1533-position model. The record is from RNAcentral.